RNAcentral lists this long non-coding RNA (239 nucleotides) under Lathyrus oleraceus (garden pea). Its description in RNAcentral is "Pisum sativum (pea) long non-coding RNA (PSAT_LNC003757)". The record is from RNAcentral. Lineage: Eukaryota; Viridiplantae; Streptophyta; Magnoliopsida; Fabales; Fabaceae.
UUCACACGGUUUUCUGAUGCAGUACCAGUCAUCCAUCUUCAUGUGGCCAUCAUCAUUCAACAUGCUGCAAGAUAUCACAUACAUUAACUUCUAUCAAAAAAAUAAAAAAAUAAAAUUUGCAGGCACGCAUACAGCAAUACAUAUACAUAAACCAUGCACGCAUACAGCAAUACAUAUACAUUCCACAUGACAUGAGAUUCAACAUAUAUCUAAACCAAUUCAACAAUACCAUACACCAU